This is a long non-coding RNA of Dunckerocampus dactyliophorus (ringed pipefish), 1749 nucleotides long. RefSeq lists it as uncharacterized. The record is from RefSeq and is a predicted model, not a curated record. NCBI's taxonomy places the organism in Eukaryota, Metazoa, Chordata, Actinopteri, Syngnathiformes, Syngnathidae. The transcript has 4 exons.
CCACAGGAGGGCGAUAGAGGCUCAGAUCAACGUUGUAUGUCUGUCACAGGGCACCGUACUGAUUAGGCCGUAAACGGUGGCGACACGCGACAUAAGGCUGUCAAAACCCCCUGGCUAUGUUUCAUGUGUUGUUAGUUGUACACCCUUAGUGUCGUUGUAGUUCGUUGUAAGUAAAUAUUUUUAAAAGACGUUAGUCUAUUUCCGAAGUAGCCACAGGAGUGCGAUCGAGGCUCAGCUCAUAAAUGCACGUCCGUCACAGGCCACCGUACAGAUGGUGCAGUAAUUGGUGAGGUCACGUGAAAUAAGGCUUUCAAAACCUUCAAAAUGUUUUUUCUUUAAAAGCUUUUAUUUGAUUUUAACCCUUGGUUAUGUUAUUUGUGUAUUCUGGUAUUUGUAUCCUGUCAUCUUUGUGUAUGCAACACAAACCACCGUAUGGACGCUUUCUGUUGACGUCACUUCGUGUCUGUCCACGCGGUUCGAAGCGUACUGUUGGAAUUUGUUGCCAUCCAACGUGAGGCGUCGCUAUAAGAUCGAAGUGUACUGUUGGAAUCUGUUGCCAUCCAACGUGAGGCAUCGCUAUAAGAAGAAAAGCUGCUGGUGCUGCUCACCAGCUUGUGGGGCCCCUCUGUAGCCAUCUGAAGAUGAACUCCAAAUGGCAGAGUCAUCUGAUGCCACAGCGCUGGUGUCGCUCAGCAGUUGGUUGGUUUGUCACCAGUCUGUCGGGCCCUCGGGGAAGGAGCAAGGUCAUGUUUGCAGAUCCUCAGGAUCCUGUCAGCGCUUUUCACCGGCAUGUCAAUGAAGACAUGUUUAAAGAGUUUUCGGAAGAGGAGUUUGAGGACAGAGAAAAGAGCUAGUCUGAGGACGUGUUUGAGCCAUACUUGGAACAAAGGUUGGUAGAGAUUCAUCAGACAAGAGCAAAUUCAAACGCAAAGGGUAAGUAAAGUCUUACUUUUUUACAACGCCUUAUGGGCUGAAUAGGUGAAUCCCUAUUACAUGCAUCAUUGUUGACUGUCAGCACAUUAUCACAAAUGUACAUGUUAGCACAUUUUACAACAUGUCUAUGAAAGUUGUUAGAAAUUGUUUUACAAGGUUUUUAUAGGCCCUAUACGAGAGGCGAAUCGUAGGGGUGUAACGCUUUGUUUUAAUAAUGGUUCCAUUCGUGGUAGCGAUUUGAUUCAAUGACGAUAUUUAGAACGAUACGAUCCAAAAUUAUUCAUGAACUUGAAAUGGAUUCUGUAACUUUUUAGCUAAAAAUGUAACCAGUGUGACUGAAACAAAUACCCGCAUACUGGACGUACUGGACGGUGUAGGUGCCGUUUCCUAGAUUCGCAUUGUUUUUUUUUUUUUUGUAAUCGGGUAUAAAUUAAAUAUAGUUAUAAACAAACAAGUAAGGAACAAUAAAUGGAAAAUGCCUUGAGAUUUCAUUUGAAGAAAGUGCAACCAACACAGUUGUCAUAAAAGUCAACAUUGUAGCCAUUUACAUUUUUCAUCAUUAAAAAGUCCAGGGAAGAAAAGUGUAAUUUCACAUAGGCCUCACUGCAAAUUGCAUGCACACAGUAAUGUCGGGGCAAAAUGAAAUGUCAUCUACAGAUAGAUAUUAAAGUGAAUUUAUAUCGUAUAUACUUUUCAUCGUUUUGUGACAGUCCGAUCCAUGAGUUUGAAAGGCGUAAAGUAGGACUUAAGUUUUGAUGUGGUCCAACAGUGUAUGAAUGUAAAGUAUAUACAGUGAGGGUCAUAAGUAUUUGCACC